Molecule: long non-coding RNA, 840 nt
Organism: Oreochromis aureus
Lineage: Eukaryota; Metazoa; Chordata; Actinopteri; Cichliformes; Cichlidae
Exons: 4
Source: RefSeq, a predicted model, not a curated record
ACAGUAAACCUGACCUCUGGUGUCGAAAUUUUGGCCUCAUGUGCCACCUGAUACCAUUGCUGUCUGAAGCCAGAGUUUAUCUCCAGCUUUCGGUGACAUUUACAUAGCUGAUUGUUUGUUUUUUCUUUUUGUUCAUAUUUUCCUGUUUUGUUUAUUGAAGACGUCAGGCCCAGUGCUGCUCAUUUUGUCGACCGUGUUUCACUUUGUUUUUACACCCUGGCUGGAAAGAUGACCAUGGAGUGUGUGUUAGCUGUAGUCACCAACAUCAGGCCCUAAGUAACAUACAUUGAUCCACUGAAGGCAUGCACCAUGGAGCAUGAACAGCAAAAACUGCAAGGAUCUCCCUUAACAGGCCUGGGAUGAGCCAUCCUUGAGGCUAGUUACUGGGAACAAACAUUGGAUUAACGAGUAGAACCUCCACACCAACAGCUGUCGUCUGACUGAAAAAAACAUGCUCAUGGAUAAUCCUUGUCCCCCAAGAUAAUGUGAGUUGUUGAUGGUGGCAGUGCGCAAAGUAUAUAAUACAACCAGUCUUCGUCGGUCCAUCAGCCAGCUGCAGAUCAUAGUUUUAACAUAAAAAGAGUUUUCAGCAUGUCAGCACUAGACAGAUGCAUACAUCAUCGGCGACAUGCAGUUGGGAUUUUGGAGGACUGCACGGGAGCAUGGCAGGAGUGGGUGAAAACCCCUUUCCGCUUUAGCAACAACUACUUUCCGUGUGAAACGCUGUAUCAUCAGAUUUACAGCACCGGGCUGAUUCUGAGCAGAGUGCAUUUCCACGUACACCUCAUAAUAUGUCCUACUUCUUCUAUCAACAAUCGUAUCAUCAAUAAACACUUCUAA